AUUCCAUGACAGGGACAUUCUAGGAUGUAGUCUUGAAAGCGCUCCCAUGCUUCUGGAACAGAUUCAUCAUUUUGUUGCUGAAAACUUGUAAUCUUCCCACGGAGAGC
Molecule: small nucleolar RNA, 107 nt
Filed under: Sorghum bicolor (sorghum)
Lineage: Eukaryota; Viridiplantae; Streptophyta; Magnoliopsida; Poales; Poaceae
Description: Plant small nucleolar RNA R71
Rfam family: Plant small nucleolar RNA R71
About the family: R71 is a member of the C/D box family of snoRNAs containing the C (UGAUGA) and D (CUGA) box motifs. Multiple nearly identical copies of this snoRNA have been identified in Arabidopsis, and it is thought to function as a 2'-O-ribose methylation guide for 18S ribosomal RNA.
Source: Rfam by way of RNAcentral